GAUGAACGCUGGCGGCGUGCCUAAUACAUGCAAGUCGAACGCUGGAGAUCUAGCUUGCUAGAUCGAAGGAGUGGCGAACGGGUGAGUAAUACAUAAGCAACCUACCCACGAAGACUGGGAUACUCUCUGGAAACGGGGACUAAUACCGGAUAGGUAAUCGGAAGGCAUCUUCUGGUUAUUAAAGGUUAUAAACACUGGUGGAUGGGCUUAUGGCGCAUUAGUUAGUUGGUGAGGUAACGGCCCACCAAGACGAUGAUGCGUAGCCGGCCUGAGAGGGUGAACGGCCACAUUGGGACUGAGACACGGCCCAGACUCCUACGGGAGGCAGCAGUAGGUAAUUUUCGGCAAUGGGGGCAACCCUGACCGAGCAACGCCGCGUGAGUGAAGACGGCCUUCGGGUUGUAAAGCUCUGUUGUAAGGGAAGAACGGUAGAUAGAGAAUAUCUAAGUGACGGUACCUUACCAGAAAGCCACGGCUAACUACGUG
Molecule: ribosomal RNA, 486 nt
Filed under: uncultured bacterium
Lineage: Bacteria
Description: partial 16S ribosomal RNA
Rfam family: Bacterial small subunit ribosomal RNA
Source: RNAcentral